GCCUUCGUGGUGCAGUGGUCAGUACGCUCGACGCCUAUUCGAGAGGUCCGUGGUUCGAGUCCUGGCGAGGACA
This 73-nucleotide transfer RNA is filed under the name Stegodyphus mimosarum. It matches the Rfam family "tRNA". Rfam says of the family: Transfer RNA (tRNA) molecules are approximately 80 nucleotides in length. Lineage: Eukaryota; Metazoa; Arthropoda; Arachnida; Araneae; Eresidae. The record is from Rfam by way of RNAcentral.